UCCAUCUCCCCUUAAUCCUUCUCUACAGUUCUAUAUCUAAACCUAAAUCAAACUCUACUCUGAAAAGCUACAGCCAUGGCCAUGAAAUCCACCGGAAAAAAAAAUCUAUGCCAUAUAGCUCUCAUGUCUUUAUCGAUGGCUUCUCCCGUUCUUCCACUAUCUGCAUCUCUGAUUGUCAUCGUCAAGAUCGUAACUUCUGGAUGAUGAUUCAUUCCUCAGGUUCUAAAUCCAUCAUCACAACUCCUCACACCGUCUUCUUCGACGACAUGUUUGCCAGAAUCCUAAACCAGAUGCUUAUUGGUCUUCAACUACUCUUCAUCGACGAGAAGUUUCAGGAUCUGCUAUUAACGACCAGCUACACACAUUUUUGUGACAAUUUUGAGGAUAACAAAGAUGCAGUGGUGAAAUGACAACAAUUUAAUUGGUCAGUUCGGAAGCAAGAUGAUUACGAGGUAGUGAGGAAAGUGGGUAGAGGCAAAUACAGUGAGGUUUUAGAGGGGAUUAACAUGAACAGCAACGAGAAGUGUGUUAUCAAGAUCCUUAAGCCUGUCAAGAAGAAGAAGCUGUACUUGCAGCUGAGUUUCUUUUCCUGUGAACCCUUAACCACUCCUCUGCAAAUGGCUGCCUCCGAUGGAAUUUCCGCUGAACUUGCUGCUCAGCACACAACCUUUAACGAUCUCGGCCUUGGUCGGCCCUCUCAGCUGCUGAGGAUUUCCCACAUGUCGAGACAAUGGGAGAGAUUCAAAAGCAAGAACUUGUGUCAAUUGGGGGAUCUUUGCACGCACCUUUCCAAGUCCACCGACCAGAUCCAUGAAGCUGACGAAAAUCCCUAAGAAAGACUAAUUGGCGGUGGAGUGUAAGAGCUCCCAAGAUGCUUCAAAGAACUUGCUGGCAAGCAGUGCCUCUUUUAGAUUCGAGUGACACCCUACAAUUUCACUCCCCAGUCCCCACUACCGGACCUUCACAGUGUCUACUGGAGAUGUGGAUGUGAAGACCAUUCAGGGGUAAGCUAAGCUUUGUUUUUUUUUUAAUAUAAAUUGUAAGCUAAGCUUUGUUGAGAUCUGUGUUUAAAAAGGCGAGCGCCUUUUGCGCCAAGGGGCAAGGCGAACUAAGGCGACAGCCCUACCGCCAUGGACCUCCAAGGCGAGGGUAUGUUCCGUAAGGCGCUCGCCAAGUGCGCAUUGGUCAUAAGGCGGUGCCUUAAAAGGCAACACAAAGGCACGCCAUGGAGACGAUGACGUUAACCGAUACUAAACCACGUAGAAACCCUAACAUAAUAAAUGGACCAACCUUUAACCAAACUUAAAACCAAACGUCUAAAAACUUAUCAAAACCGUAGCUUGCUCUUUUAGAAAAGCAAAGUUAAAAACUUAACAAAACAUGGAUCUCAUGGACUGUGUUUUGCAUAAGGUUAGUAUGUACUAUCUUCUCUAAUCUCAAGGGGCUUUCUUGUGAUAAAAACUAUUUAAUAAAAGAUAAAAUCAUCACGUGAAUGAAAUUUGUAUAUUACGCACGGAUACAUAACAAGACAUAACUAACGUAUUCUUCAAGUGGGUCUUCAAGGCGAGCGCUUUCUUGCGCCAUGGCGCAAGGCGUAAGGCACACACCUCAUCGCCUUGGAUCGCCAUGCACCAUUUAAAACACAGUUUGAGAUAAUAACCUGGAUGGAGGUGAUCUAGAAAAAAAACUUCAUGUUCGUAUCAGGGUGAAAGUAACAACAGAGCUCCACAAGUGGUAAGCCAAAGUGAGCAACCACCUGCUUCUGCAAGCGAUCCGAUAGAUGCGGCUACAAAAGUGAUGGCAGUGGAUCAACAACACCACCCAGCUUUGGAGGCCAAGAGAAGAGUUGCAAACGCUACCUUGAGUGAUAGUUGGAAGUGUAGUAAGCCGUAGUUCCCACUAAGAUUUAUGUUCGUGUAUUACAAACUGAACAUUAACUA
Long non-coding RNA from Brassica napus (rape), 1940 nucleotides. RefSeq lists it as uncharacterized. Lineage: Eukaryota; Viridiplantae; Streptophyta; Magnoliopsida; Brassicales; Brassicaceae. The record is from RefSeq and is a predicted model, not a curated record. The transcript is spliced from 8 exons.